RNAcentral lists this ribosomal RNA (253 nucleotides) under uncultured bacterium. Its description in RNAcentral is "partial 16S ribosomal RNA". It matches the Rfam family "Bacterial small subunit ribosomal RNA", at positions 80 to 334 of the family's 1533-position model. The record is from RNAcentral.
UAGAAGAGAUGGCGACCGGCGCACGGGUGAGUAACACGUAUCCAACCUGCCGAUAACUCCGGAAUAGCCUUUCGAAAGAAAGAUUAAUACCGGAUGGCAUACGAAUAUCGCAUGAUAUUUUUAUUAAAGAAUUUCGGUUAUCGAUGGGGGUGCGUUCCAUUAGUUUGUUGGCGGGGUAACGGCCCACCAAGACUACGAUGGAUAGGGGUUCUGAGAGGAAGGUCCCCCACAUUGGAACUGAGACACGGUCCAA